GGGUAGCCGGCCUGAGAGGGCGACCGGCCACACUGGGACUGAGAUACGGCCCAGACUCCUACGGGAGGCAGCAGUGGGGAAUAUUGCACAAUGGGCGCAAGCCUGAUGCAGCAACGCCGCGUGCGGGAUGACGGCCUUCGGGUUGUAAACCGCUUUCAGCUCCGACGAAGGUAACCUGACGGUAGGAGCAGAAGAAGGACCGGCCAACUACGUGCCAGCAGCCGCGGUGAUACGUAGGGUCCGAGCGUUGUCCGGAAUUAUUGGGCGUAAAGGGCUUGUAGGCGGUUUGUCGCGUCGGAAGUGAAAACUCAGAGCUUAACUCUGAGCCUGCUUCCGAUACGGGCAAACUAGAGGGAUGCAGGGGAGAACGGAAUUCCUGGUGGAGCGGCGGAAUGCGCAGAUAUCAGGAGGAACACCGGUGGCGAAGGCGGUUCUCUGGGCAUUUCCUGACGCUGAGAAGCGAAAGCGUGGGGAGCAAACAGGCUUAGAUACCCUGGUAGUCCACGCCGUAAACGGUGGGCACUAGGUGUGGGGAACAUUCCACGUUCUCCGUGCCGAAGCUAACGCAUUAAGUGCCCCGCCUGGGGAGAACGGCCGCAAGGCUAAAACUCAAAGGAAUUGACGGGGGCCCGCACAAGCGGCGGAGCAUGCGGAUUAAUUCGAUGCAACGCGAAGAACCUUACCUGGGUUUGACAUAUGCCGGAAAGCCAUAGAGAUAUGGCCCCCGCAAGGUCGGUAUACAGGUGGUGCAUGGCUGUCGUCAGCUCGUGUCGUGAGAUGUUGGGUUAAGUCCCGCAACGAGCGCAACCCUCGUCCUAUGUUGCCAGCGGAUCAUGCCGGGGACUCAUAGGAGACUGCCGGGGUCAACCCGGAGGAAGGUGGGGAUGACGUCAAGUCAUCAUGCCCCUUAAGUCCAGGGCUUCACGCAUGCUACAAUGGCUGGUACAAAGGGCUGCAAUACCGCAAGGUUGAGCGAAUCCCAAAAAGCCAGUCUCAGUUCGGAUUGGGGUCUGCAACUCGACCCCAUGAAGUCGGAGUCGCUAGUAAUCGCAGAUCAG
RNAcentral lists this ribosomal RNA (1058 nucleotides) under uncultured Actinomycetes bacterium. RNAcentral describes it as "bacterial SSU rRNA". It matches the Rfam family "Bacterial small subunit ribosomal RNA", at positions 281 to 1352 of the family's 1533-position model. The record is from RNAcentral. Lineage: Bacteria; Bacillati; Actinomycetota; Actinomycetes.